This 253-nucleotide ribosomal RNA is filed under the name uncultured bacterium. RNAcentral's name for it is "partial 16S ribosomal RNA". It matches the Rfam family "Bacterial small subunit ribosomal RNA", at positions 524 to 776 of the family's 1533-position model. The record is from RNAcentral.
UACGUAGGCAGCAAGCGUUGUUCGGAGUUACUGGGCGUAAAGGGUGUGUAGGCGGUCUUCUAAGUUUGGUGUGAAAUCUCCCGGCUCAACUGGGAGGGUGCGCCGAAAACUGGGAGGCUAGAGUACUGGAUGGGAGAGUGGAAUUCCUGGUGUAGCGGUGAAAUGCGUAGAUAUCUGGAGGAACACCGGUGGCGAAAGCGGCUCACUGGACCCGAUCUGACACUGAUGUGCGAAAGCUAGGGUAGCAAACGGG